CUUGAAGUCCUAUUUAAAAUUACGUACAGGUGAGAAAAUGAGGGCGUGGGAGAAUGAAAAUACGUUUUUAAUGCAAAUACCUGAAAAAGUGGGUCGACCGAACCAGAGAGAUGGUUCCAUCUGAGGAGUAAGAUUUCAAGUUUUGCAUCUCUUUUCGUCUGCUUCAAUGUCUCUCUUCGGGUGAGUUUUUCUCUUUCCUCCUUUUUCUGCUUAGUUUUUGGUUUUAGUGGUUUGAUUUCUCUUUAAUUUUAUCUCUUAUCUUUUAGGUCUUCUGAAGAGGAACACUGUUUUUAAUUUUGUAGUGUUACAAGAAAUUAGACACCUUCUUUCCAUUUUCCUCAGCAAUGUAUGUGUUUCGUUCCUG
This 364-nucleotide long non-coding RNA is filed under the name Nicotiana benthamiana. RNAcentral describes it as "long non-coding RNA (NBEN_LNC029329)". The record is from RNAcentral. Lineage: Eukaryota; Viridiplantae; Streptophyta; Magnoliopsida; Solanales; Solanaceae.